CACCAGGCAUUGUGGUCUCCGC
RNAcentral lists this microRNA (22 nucleotides) under Pongo abelii (Sumatran orangutan). RNAcentral's name for it is "Pab-Mir-1911_3p* (star (passenger))". Lineage: Eukaryota; Metazoa; Chordata; Mammalia; Primates; Hominidae. The record is from RNAcentral. RNAcentral also lists the same sequence under 2 other names.